RNAcentral lists this ribosomal RNA (272 nucleotides) under Photorhabdus luminescens. RNAcentral's name for it is "partial 16S ribosomal RNA". It matches the Rfam family "Bacterial small subunit ribosomal RNA", at positions 1 to 268 of the family's 1533-position model. Lineage: Bacteria; Pseudomonadati; Pseudomonadota; Gammaproteobacteria; Enterobacterales; Morganellaceae. The record is from RNAcentral.
AAUUGAAGAGUUUGAUCAUGGCUCAGAUUGAACGCUGGCGGCAGGCCUAACACAUGCAAGUCGGGCGGUAACAGGAAAGCGCUUGCGCUUUUGCUGACGAGCGGCGGACGGGUGAGUAAUGUCUGGGGAUCUGCCCGAGGGCGGGGGAUAACCACUGGAAACGGUGGCUAAUACCGCAUAAUGUCGCAAGACCAAAGUGGGGGACCUGAAAGGGCCUCACGCCGUCGGAUGAACCCAGAUGGGAUUAGCUGGUAGGUAGGGUAAUGGCCUAC